UUGCUCGCUUCGGCAGUACAUAUACUAAAACUGGAAGGGAAGAUUAGCAUGGCCCCUGUGCAAAGAUGACACGCAAAUUUGCAAAGUGGUCCAUAUUUUU
Molecule: small nuclear RNA, 100 nt
Filed under: Mus pahari (shrew mouse)
Lineage: Eukaryota; Metazoa; Chordata; Mammalia; Rodentia; Muridae
Source: RNAcentral